RNAcentral lists this transfer RNA (70 nucleotides) under Phalera grotei. RNAcentral describes it as "tRNA-Cys". The record is from RNAcentral. Lineage: Eukaryota; Metazoa; Arthropoda; Insecta; Lepidoptera; Notodontidae.
AGUCUUAUAGUCAAAUAAUGAUGUAAAAUUGCAAAUUUUAAGGAAUAAUAAUUAAUUAUUAUUAAGGCUU